Non-coding RNA from Monodelphis domestica (gray short-tailed opossum), 5755 nucleotides. NCBI's taxonomy places the organism in Eukaryota, Metazoa, Chordata, Mammalia, Didelphimorphia, Didelphidae. The record is from the annotation of a RefSeq genome assembly.
GGAUUCUCAGUGUCACCAAAGCCUUCCCCAGGGCUUUAGAGCCAACCCUGGGGGUUUCCUGCUUCUGUAGCUCAGGGAAGGGGAUCAUCACAGUGGAAGGCAGCUGCUCUUCCUCCCAUUAAACAGAGCAAGACAUGCAAAUGAGGUUCCUCCCUCUGGGCAUGAACCCAGCACAAAACCUGUGUCUGCUGCUCUGGGAGAGGAGCUUCUCCUUGUGUGGCCUUUCCCAGCUGAGGACUGACACUGUAGAGCCUGAAUCAUGGGAUUUGGACUCAAAGGCAUUUUCAUUCUGAUGAUUUUGCAAGGUGUCCAUUGUGACAUUCCGCUGGUGGAGUCUGGGGGAGAUGUGAGACAGCCUGGAGGAUCCUUGAAACUCUCCUGCAAAGCUUCUGGAUUCACCUUCAGCAGCUACUACAUGUAUUGGAUCCGCCAGGCUCCAGGGAAGGGGCUGGAGUGGGUCUCAGCAAUUAGUAGUGAUGGAAGUAGCACAGGCUAUGCAGACUCUGUGAAAGGCCGAUUCACCAUCUCCAGGGACAAUGGCAACAGCCUGCUGCACCUGCAGAUGAAUUCCCUGAAAGCCGAGGACACAGCCACGUAUUACUGUGCAAGAGACACAGUGAGGGAGAGCAGUGAGAGAGCAGACAAAAACCUCCUCUCCAGAGAGUUCUGGUGGAGAAUGACAGAGAGGGAACUCCAGAACUCUUAGCACAAGGAGCCCAGUUACAACAACAGGUGAAGAGGGAGGCUGACAAGUGUCUUUUCAAGGUCUGUGAUUUUCUCCCAAAUGCCAGUGAACAUCUCUCUCUCUCUCUCUCUCUCUCUCUCUCUCUCUCUCUCUCUCUCUCUCUCUCUCUCUCUCUCUCUCUCUCUCUCUCUCUCUCUCUCUCUUUUCUGUCUUAAUUCCUUUUUGUCUCUGCUGCUCUUUCCUGCUUCUGAUAAGCAGAGGCUCAGGGAGGAGACUUAUUCUUUUAAUGGUUUCCGUAUUUUGUAUAAUCGUGACUCUAAUUUCUCUGACAUUGUCAGACAUGAAGCACAGAAGAGGUCACAUGACAAAUGAGGAAGCACUGAACAUUCCCUACAUGCAUCCUGCAGGGUUUUCAUACACUCUGAGCACAGGGAAGCACAGUUGUGCAGGGAAGUCAGCUGGUGUGCCGAGUCAGUCUAGAGGAAACCUUUAAAAACCUUUUUUUUUCCUUUUAGCCCUUACACAGGCAGCUGCCUAAGAAGGUGGGAUUUGCACUCUCAGCCUCUUCUCAUUUCAAUCAGAGUUUCAGUGAUUCUAUCAGAAUGUCUUUUGACCUCAUAGGAAGAUGCUUGCUGUGGUCUAAACAAGCAGGAUUUUUGGAAGGUCCUCCCAAUGCUUCUCUGGGGAUAGGAGUGGAAUAAACUCCUUUAACUUCUGUUUCUGAGCUGGCUUCAUUUAAUUAGGGUUAAGUCUAGAUGCUCCGUUUACCAUCUAACAUAGGUAUAAAUAUCUGUUUAUCUUUCUGUGUGUGCUAAUAGUGAUCUUUCCAUGUAUGUAUUUAUCCAUAUUCAUGCAUAUAUGGGAGGGACCUAACUGGAGGGAACAUGAGGCUCAACCAGACUUUCCAUAUGAUCAAAAUCUUAUUCCUUUUGUUCCUGUGAAGGGGGUUUCCAUGCUGACUUGCACAGCUGGGAGGUCUUUGUGGUUGCCUUCACUGGUGCUUGGGCCAGAUUGAAGUCCUGUUCCCUUGGUGGUAGGGCAUGACUGGAGGCUUGGGUCCUCUGAGGUCUUGCUGUUGGCCUUUUGUUGGAGUGGGGACUCACAGCUCCCUCUGCUGGCUAGAGUUCGGCUGGACCCUCCCUUUCAUGUGGGCAGGGGCUCCCCCCUUCUCUGGCUGGGAUGCAGACUGCCUUUGCUCAGACUGCUCCAACUGUACCUCCCUCCAAGCCCUGUGGGACUAACCUUUCCUGCUGGCUCUCUUGCCUGCUCUGGUCUGCAGGACUCUUAACUGCUUUUAAAUUCAGACCUGCAAGGAACCAAAGAGAACCUUUCUGGCAAUCCAAGAACAUAACCUCAAGCUGGGAGCUGAAGAUGAAGCAGAAUCAACUGUGCUUUUUCAGAACCAACAUACAUAGAGAUUUGUGGGCCAAGACCAAGCAAAGGGGGUUCUUUACUUUCACAAUCUGGAAUGAAGAUUUUGUGGAAAAGUGGCUUUUCUGCUGGUAUAGUCGGAUAUUAUUUCCAAGCUUUAAAAACUCCCUAGUGAAGAUACGCUCUAGCAGGCUUUGCCAUUCCCCUGCAGCAGACACCCUUGGGCUUCUUUAUGGAUUUGACCAGAAUAGUGGAAAAAGUAGACUGCUGCACUAAAUCUCAUGUAAGAUUUAGACAACCAAUGUUGAUUUACUUAAUGAUGCCCUUAAUGUGCUCACUACUGUAUAAACUGAUUUUCAGUGUAGGGGCUAGCUAUAUCCAUAUCGUCAAUCUUCCUAUAAAUGGAGAGUGUAUAAAAAUGUUCAGUUUCAUGAAAGAAUAAUCUACAGAAUUUUGAGAGGAUUUAUAUAUUAACUUGUUUUAUAUCUAAGGCCAUUACUAAAACAUAGUAAUUAAUUAAUAAAUGUUGAUUUCUUCCCUUUAAAUAUUAAAUACUAUGUUUACAUGCGUACAUAUAUCAUAUAUAAUUAUGCAAAUAUACAUGUGUUUGUGUUAAGAAUUGUUAUUAAUUUAUUGACUGGUACCUUUCGGCAGAAAGGAAUAUCUGCGUUACUUUUUUAAGUCAAGUUUAUUUUUGCUAUUGCUCAUUUGCUAUCAUACAAGCUCUUUUGAGGUGACUUGAAACUUAAUAGAGUUGACUCUAGUCCCUUAGAGAAUUAUUUUUUCUAUGCUUUGGCCUUUUUUCAUCACUUUAUUCAGUAAAAUUAACCUCCAAGUAAAUUGUAAAAGCAAUACUUUCUUAAUGUCUUCUGAAUGGUAGGGUUUUUCAGAUGGGAUCAGAUAUUACAAUGUAGGGCCAAUAUCAGAAGAAUAAAUUUUUGGAAAGCUCUCUAAGGCUGAUAGGCCCAGUGCAGUCUUAGUCUGUCUUGAGAUAAUAAAUACAGACCACUACAUAACAGAGACAAAUUAUUGUAUUUAAUAAAUAAGGGAAGGUGAAAAGGGGAUUAGGGAUCAUCUAAACUAAGGUCAAUCUACCUAAACCUACCAGAUCUAAUUAGCUCAUCACAGAGAUUUCUUCUGGGUGAAUUUCCUACAUUAAUACUCCCUAACUGCCUAAAUCCCCAAUCUUAACUAAACCUACAAUUAACAGCCCCCCUUUGCUCGAUUUAAGGAAAGGGCCUUUGGUAGGACCAGGGAAGGUCUUAGAUCCAAAAAGAUCCAGACCAGAUCUCACAAUCACUGUAGGUGUUUUAGGUUCACCAGGAACUGCCUUGAUGAAUUGCAGCAAGCAGGAAAAGUCAGGAUUAGUCACCAAGAAAAUGUGCAGCCUCCACCUUCAGAUAUUCAUCAGAGAGAUGAAUAGUCCAAGCCUAACCUUUCCUUCAAAAUUCCAGAAUCUCCCUCUGGUCUCAUACCACUUUUAUCUGCAAACUUACACACUUUCCUACAUAAUUUGAGUUUCCUCAUAACAAGGCAGUGGACUAUAGAUUAUAUUAAUGAGCUGACAGAACUAUACAACCAGUUGAAACAGUUUCAGAUAUUGUCCAACUGGCUAUCUAGGCAAGAUAUUCUAAUAAUGGAAUCCUAAAGUGUUGGGAACAUUCUCCUUUGAACAUUUGGCAACCUAGACAUUUUGGGGUGGAUGUGCAAACAAGCUUACCCAUGUAUCCAGUCCAGAUUUUCUGGCCAGAUGUCUGAUCCACAUGUCCAGACCAGAGUCCUGCCUCCACUGACCAUCCCUAUAAAUGUUGUAAGUUGUAGAUAAGAAUCCCACAUGACUCUGUCUAAAAUGUUCUUUGUAACCUAGAAUGCUAUUUAGCAGGGUCUUUAAUGUUCAUAUUCCCAUAUGUUCUAUCUUAAAUAAAAACUUAAUUUGUUAUCAUAAUUCUGAGAGAAAAGGGAAGGGGUUAGAAUGGGUUAAAUUAUAUAACAGAAAGAGGCAUCAUAAAUCAUUAUAGAGAGGGGAAGAGAAGUGUUUUGAUAGGCAAUGUUUAAACUUUACUCUUAUCAUAACUGGCUAAGAGAAAGAAAAACAAAUAUACUCAUUGGAUUAUAAAAUUAUAUCUUACCCUACAGAAAAGUACAAGGAGAAUUAGACAAGUGAAAAGGGUGUUAAUUGGAGGGAGGAAGAUUCAGGAGGGAGUCAUAAAAAGCAAAAUACUGAAAGCCCAGGAAUGUUUGAAGCGUGUGAGCUCAGUAAUCCCUCUGAACUCUCAUUAGAAAUCGCUGCCACAAAUAUGAAAAAAAUAAUUCCUUACAACUUUGCUGAAAACUAAUCAAGGUUCAAAUAACUCAGAAUUAGGGUUGUCUAAAUUCUAGGUUUCACAUCAGUACAAAGAUGUAUUUCAUAUAAAUAUGUGUUUAUAUAUCUUUAUAUGUAUGUUAAUAUAUGUGAUCUUUCCAUGCAUAUUUUUAUAUCUCUUGUUUUUUAAGUGAUUUUUCAAAUGUCCCUUAACAAAUAUAAUUUUAUUAUACUAAAUAUGGACUGGAUGAUAUACAGUAAAGGAAAAGUUAAAUAUUUCUGAUUUUCUGAAUUAGCUUAAAUUUUAAUGCCUCCAUGAAUGACCAGGUUUGUAUAGGCAUUGGUUAAAGAAAAAAAAUAAUUUGUUUUCUUUUUUAAUUCAAUACUUGUCAGAGAUUUUUCCCCAAAAUUAUAUUUAGGUUCCUAACAUUAUUUUUAUUUUUGGUUGAUUUAAAAGGGGAACAUUAAGAAACCUCAGUAUUGUAGCUUUAAUCUCUCUUUAUUUUAAUAUUUUGUUGAUUUUUCCUUUUAACAAUUAAAUACUAUGCAUGUGUAUGUAUAUGUUACAUGCAUGAUUAUAAACUUAAAAAUAUGUUGUUUUAAGAAUUGUUAUUAAUUUAAUGACUCUGAUACCUUCAUAGAAUCUUACUCUGGAAAUAGCUUUGUGGGUCCUUGAGCAGAGGUGAGAAGUAUGGGUAUUGGGCUUACAGGAGGGCCUGUGCUGACUAAGAAUUAUGUAGACAGCAUCGUAGAGAGGUGGCAAAGUUUAAUGGAUUGGGGUUUACAAUGUAUAAGGUAAAUGGUGUAGGAAAGGGGAUUAGGUAAGCUUCAUACAGAAAUAAUGAUAAUGAUUUACAAGAUCAAGAUAAUGGAAAUGAACUACUUUAGUGUUUCUCAAUAGUAAUUUCUAUAACUAAAAGAUCAGGUAAAUAAGAAACCACCAAGUCCAAAUUUUCAGGGAAAUGUUUGGCUUUAGUGCGUAGAUUAAGGACAACAAGUUGUUGCAAAGUACAGAAGGGGUUUUAGGAGUCUCAGGUGAUGCCUAAGAUGCAUGACUGAUUCUGCCUAGCUUAUAGCUCUGAUCUUAUUGGGGUUUACUCUCACUACAGGGGCUGCACCAGUAUAAUGUAGUUUCUGUGUUUCUCUUUUUCAAUCAAGUUUAUUUUGACUCAACUCAUUUUAGAUCAUGCAAACUCUUUUGAGUUUACUUGAAGCAUAAUAGAUUUGACUCCAGCACUUUAGAAAAUUAUUUUUCUCCAACCUCAUAGAAAAACAAUUUUGAAAUUUAUCUUUUAAAAAAAAUUUCCAAAUUCUCAAUCUGAUAAAGAUUUUACAAGUGCAAUCAUAGAAAACAUUUUUUCAUGUCAGUUAUUUUGUAGAGAUCUCAAAAAAAAAAA